This 254-nucleotide ribosomal RNA is filed under the name uncultured bacterium. RNAcentral describes it as "partial 16S ribosomal RNA". It matches the Rfam family "Bacterial small subunit ribosomal RNA", at positions 524 to 776 of the family's 1533-position model. The record is from RNAcentral.
UACGGGGGGAGCAAGCGUUGUUCGGAUUUACUGGGCGUAAAGGGCGCGUAGGCGGCCAGCACAAGUCAGUUGUGAAAUCUCCGGGCUUAACUCGGAAAGGUCAACUGAUACUGUGCGGCUAGAGUGCAGAAGGGGCAACUGGAAUUCUCGGUGUAGCGGUGAAAUGCGUAGAUAUCGAGAGGAACACCUGCGGCGAAGGCGGGUUGCUGGGCUGACACUGACGCUGAGGCGCGAAAGCCAGGGGAGCAAACGGG